AUUGAACGCUGGCGGCAUGCUUUACACAUGCAAGUCGAACGGUAACAGGCCGCAAGGUGCUGACGAGUGGCGCACGGGUGCGUAAUGCAUCGGAACGUGCCCAGUCGUGGGGGAUAACUACUCGAAAGAGUAGCUAAUACCGCAUACGAUCUAUGGAUGAAAGCGGGGGACCGUAAGGCCUCGCGCGAUUGGAGCGGCCGAUGUCAGAUUAGGUAGUUGGUGGGGUAAAGGCUCACCAAGCCAACGAUCUGUAGCUGGUCUGAGAGGACAACCAGCCACACUGGGACUGAGACACGGCCCAGACUCCUACGGGAGGCAGCAGUGGGGAAUUUUGGACAAUGGGCGCAAGCCCGAUCCAGCAAUGCCGCGUGCAGGAAGAAGGCCUUCGGGUUGUAAACUGCUUUUGUACGGAACGAAACGGCUCUGGUUAAUACCCGGGGCUAAUGACGGUACCGUAAGAAUAAGCACCGGCUAACUACGUG
This 482-nucleotide ribosomal RNA is filed under the name uncultured bacterium. Its description in RNAcentral is "partial 16S ribosomal RNA". It matches the Rfam family "Bacterial small subunit ribosomal RNA", at positions 30 to 507 of the family's 1533-position model. The record is from RNAcentral.